Molecule: ribosomal RNA, 709 nt
Filed under: uncultured bacterium
Lineage: Bacteria
Description: bacterial SSU rRNA
Rfam family: Bacterial small subunit ribosomal RNA
Source: RNAcentral
GCUAGCUUGCUAUAAUUCUCUAGUGGCGCACGGGUGAGUAACACGUGAGUAACCUGCCCCCAAGAGUGGGAUAGCCCCGGGAAACUGGGAUUAAUACCGCAUAAAAUCGCAAGAUUAAAGCAGCAAUGCGCUUGGGGAUGGGCUCGCGUCCUAUUAGUUAGUUGGUGAGGUAACGGCUCACCAAGGCGAUGACGGGUAGCCGGUCUGAGAGGAUGUCCGGCCACACUGGAACUGAGACACGGUCCAGACACCUACGGGUGGCAGCAGUCGAGAAUCAUUCACAAUGGGGGAAACCCUGAUGGUGCGACGCCGCGUGGGGGAAUGAAGGUCUUCGGAUUGUAAACCCCUGUCAUGUGGGAGCAAAUUAAAAAGAUAGUACCACAAGAGGAAGAGACGGCUAACUCUGUGCCAGCAGCCGCGGUAAUACAGAGGUCUCAAGCGUUGUUCGGAAUCACUGGGCGUAAAGCGUGCGUAGGCGGUUUCGUAAGUCGUGUGUGAAAGGCGGGGGCUCAACCCCCGGACUGCACAUGAUACUGCGAGACUAGAGUAAUGGAGGGGGAACCGGAAUUCUCGGUGUAGCAGUGAAAUGCGUAGAUAUCGAGAGGAACACUCGUGGCGAAGGCGGGUUCCUGGACAUUAACUGACGCUGAGGCACGAAGGCCAGGGGAGCGAAAGGGAUUAGAUACCCCUGUAGUCCUGGCAGUAAACG